This 105-nucleotide microRNA precursor is filed under the name Canis lupus dingo (dingo). Its description in RNAcentral is "mir-8834 microRNA precursor family". It matches the Rfam family "mir-8834 microRNA precursor family". Lineage: Eukaryota; Metazoa; Chordata; Mammalia; Carnivora; Canidae. The record is from Rfam by way of RNAcentral.
AGGAGGAACAACCCCAGUGGCGGGGCCAGCUCUGGAGCCCUGGAGUCAGCCCCCGCAGUAACUCCGGAGCUCUCCGUCUGCAGGGCCUGGAGGCUCCGGGGCGGG